UUCUGUGUAUGGCACUGGUAGAAUUCACUGUGAACGGUCUCGGUCAGUGAAUUACCGAAGGGCCAUAAACAGAG
RNAcentral lists this microRNA precursor (74 nucleotides) under Ailuropoda melanoleuca (giant panda). Its description in RNAcentral is "mir-183 microRNA precursor family". It matches the Rfam family "mir-183 microRNA precursor family". The record is from Rfam by way of RNAcentral. Lineage: Eukaryota; Metazoa; Chordata; Mammalia; Carnivora; Ursidae.